RNAcentral lists this ribosomal RNA (253 nucleotides) under uncultured bacterium. RNAcentral's name for it is "partial 16S ribosomal RNA". It matches the Rfam family "Bacterial small subunit ribosomal RNA", at positions 524 to 776 of the family's 1533-position model. The record is from RNAcentral.
UACGUAGGUGGCAAGCGUUGUCCGGAUUUAUUGGGUUUAAAGGGUGCGUAGGCGGUGCCCUAAGUCAGUUGUGAAAUACGGCAGCUUAACUGUCGAGGUGCAAUUGAUACUGGGUUACUUGAGUACUGAUGAGGUAUGCGGAAUGGACGGUGUAGCGGUGAAAUGCUUAGAUAUCGUCCAGAACACCGAUAGCGAAGGCAGCAUACUAAGGAGUAACUGACGCUGAGGCACGAAAGUGUGGGGAUCAAACAGG